RNAcentral lists this ribosomal RNA (320 nucleotides) under uncultured eukaryote. RNAcentral's name for it is "partial 18S ribosomal RNA". It matches the Rfam family "Eukaryotic small subunit ribosomal RNA", at positions 1470 to 1796 of the family's 1831-position model. The record is from RNAcentral.
CCCUUAGAUGUUCUGGGCCGCACGCGCGCUACACUGAACAGUUCAACAAGUCUUAACCUUGGCCGAUAGGUCUGGGUAAUCUUUGAACGCUGUUCGUGAUUGGGAUAGACCUUUGCAAUUAUGGGUCUUCAACGAGGAAUUCCUAGUAAACGCAAGUCAUCAGCUUGCAUUGAUUACGUCCCUGCCCUUUGUACACACCGCCCGUCGCACCUACCGAUUGAAUGGUCCGGUGAAAUCUCGGGACGGCGGCUUGGUCGCUUGCGUCCGACUGCUGAAACUUGAUUAAACCAUAUCAUUUAGAGGAAGGUGAAGACGUAACA